This 817-nucleotide ribosomal RNA is filed under the name uncultured bacterium. RNAcentral describes it as "bacterial SSU rRNA". It matches the Rfam family "Bacterial small subunit ribosomal RNA", at positions 61 to 880 of the family's 1533-position model. The record is from RNAcentral.
GUCGAGCGAACAUUUACAUGAAGUUUUCGGAUGGAAUGUUAUCUGACUGAGCGGCGGACGGGUGAGUAACGCGUGGGUAACCUGCCUUAUACAGGGGGAUAACAGUUAGAAAUGACUGCUAAUACCGCAUAAGCGCACAGUACUGCAUGGUACAGUGUGAAAAACUCCGGUGGUAUAAGAUGGACCCGCGUCUGAUUAGCCAGUUGGCGGGGUAACGGCCCACCAAAGCGACGAUCAGUAGCCGACCUGAGAGGGUGACCGGCCACAUUGGGACUGAGACACGGCCCAAACUCCUACGGGAGGCAGCAGUGGGGAAUAUUGCACAAUGGGGGAAACCCUGAUGCAGCAACGCCGCGUGAGUGAAGAAGUAUUUCGGUAUGUAAAGCUCUAUCAGCAGGGAAGAAGAUGACGGUACCUGAUUAAGAAGCCCCGGCUAACUACGUGCCAGCAGCCGCGGUAAUACGUAGGGGGCAAGCGUUAUCCGGAUUUACUGGGUGUAAAGGGAGCGCAGACGGCAGUGCAAGUCUGGAGUGAAAGCCCGGGGCCCAACCCCGGAACUGCUCUGGAAACUGUGCGGCUAGAGUACUGGAGGGGCAGGCGGAAUUCCUAGUGUAGCGGUGAAAUGCGUAGAUAUUAGGAGGAACACCAGUGGCGAAGGCGGCCUGCUGGACAGUAACUGACGUUGAGGCUCGAAAGCGUGGGGAGCAAACAGGAUUAGAUACCCUGGUAGUCCACGCCGUANACGAUGAAUGCUAGGUNUCGGGGAGCAAAGCUUCCCGGUGCCGCCGCAAACGCAUUAAGCAUUCCACCUGGGGAG